RNAcentral lists this ribosomal RNA (292 nucleotides) under uncultured bacterium. Its description in RNAcentral is "partial 16S ribosomal RNA". It matches the Rfam family "Bacterial small subunit ribosomal RNA", at positions 505 to 796 of the family's 1533-position model. The record is from RNAcentral.
GUGUCAGCCGCCGCGGUAAUACGGGGGGUGCAAGCGUUGUUCGGAAUUAUUGGGCGUAAAGCGCGUGUAGGCGGUUUGUUAAGUCUGUUGUGAAAGCCCUGGGCUCAACCCAGGAAGUGCACUGGAUACUGGCAGACUUGAAUACGGGAGAGGGUAGUGGAAUUCCUGGUGUAGGAGUGAAAUCCGUAGAUAUCAGGAGGAACACCGGUGGCGAAGGCGGCUACCUGGACCGAUAUUGACGCUGAGACGCGAAAGCGUGGGUAGCAAACAGGAUUAGAUACCCCCGUAGUCC